This 843-nucleotide ribosomal RNA is filed under the name Enterobacter asburiae. Its description in RNAcentral is "bacterial SSU rRNA". It matches the Rfam family "Bacterial small subunit ribosomal RNA", at positions 89 to 919 of the family's 1533-position model. Lineage: Bacteria; Pseudomonadati; Pseudomonadota; Gammaproteobacteria; Enterobacterales; Enterobacteriaceae. The record is from RNAcentral.
GACGAGCGCGCGGACGGGUGAGUAAUGUCUGGGAAACUGCCUGAUGGAGGGGGAUAAAUACUGGAAACGGUAGCUAAUACCGCAUAACGUCGCAAGACCAAAGAGGGGGACCUUCGGGCCUCUUGCCAUCAGUUCUGUCCAAAUGGGAUUAGCUAGUAGGUGGGGUAACGGCUCACCUAGGCGACGAUCCCUAGCUGGUCUGAGAGGAUGACCAGCCACACUGGAACUGAGACACGGUCCAGACUCCUACGGGAGGCAGCAGUGGGGAAUAUUGCACAAUGGGCGCAAGCCUGAUGCAGCCAUGCCGCGUGUAUGAAGAAAGCCUUCGGGUUGUAAAGUACUUUCAGCGGGGAGGAAGGCGAUAAGGUUAAUAACCUUGUCGAUUGACGUUACUCGCAUAAUAAGCACCGGCUAACUCCGUGCCAGCAGCCGCGGUAAUACGGAGGGUGCGAUCGUUUAUCGGAAUUACUGGGCGUAAAGCGCACGCAGGCGGUCUGUCAAGUCUGAUGUGAAAUCCCCGGGCUCUACCUGGGAACUGCAUUCGAAACUGGCAGGCUAGAGUCUUGUAGAGGGGGGUAGAAUUCCACGUGUAGCGGUGAAAUGCGUAGAGAUCUGGAGGAAUACCCGCUGGCGAAAGCGGCUCCCCUGGACAAAGACUGACGCUCACGUGCGAAAGUGUUGCGGUAGCAAAACAAUAAUAUAUACACUGGUAGUCUCACGCCGUAAACGAUGUCCACUUGGGAAGUUGUUCCCUUGAGUAGUGGCUUCCAGAGCUAACGCGUUAAGUCACAGCUUGUGGAAAAACGGCCGCAAGUUUAAAACAUCAGAUGAAAUUGAUGGGGG